Molecule: ribosomal RNA, 430 nt
Filed under: Bacillota bacterium
Lineage: Bacteria; Bacillati; Bacillota
Description: Firmicutes bacterium partial 16S ribosomal RNA
Rfam family: Bacterial small subunit ribosomal RNA
Source: RNAcentral
UGGGGAAUAUUGGACAAUGGGCGCAAGCCUGAUCCAGCCAUGCCGCGUGUGUGAAGAAGGCCUUUUGGUUGUAAAGCACUUUAAGCGAGGAGGAGGCUACCGAGAUUAAUACUCUUGGAUAGUGGACGUUACUCGCAGAAUAAGCACCGGCUAACUCUGUGCCAGCAGCCGCGGUAAUACAGAGGGUGCGAGCGUUAAUCGGAUUUACUGGGCGUAAAGCGUGCGUAGGCGGCUUCUUAAGUCGGAUGUGAAAUCCCUGAGCUUAACUUAGGAAUUGCAUUCGAUACUGGGAAGCUAGAGUAUGGGAGAGGAUGGUAGAAUUCCAGGUGUAGCGGUGAAAUGCGUAGAGAUCUGGAGGAAUACCGAUGGCGAAGGCAGCCAUCUGGCCUAAUACUGACGCUGAGGUACGAGAGCAUGGGGAGCAAACAGG